RNAcentral lists this ribosomal RNA (740 nucleotides) under uncultured Thermaceae bacterium. RNAcentral's name for it is "bacterial SSU rRNA". It matches the Rfam family "Bacterial small subunit ribosomal RNA", at positions 581 to 1325 of the family's 1533-position model. Lineage: Bacteria; Thermotogati; Deinococcota; Deinococci; Thermales; Thermaceae. The record is from RNAcentral.
UUUCAAGUCCGAUGCUAAAGACUGGGGCUCAACCCCAGGGGUGCGUUGGAUACUGUGAGGCUAGGCGGUCGGAGGGGGUAGCGGAAUUUCCGGAGUAGCGGUGAAAUGCGCAGAUACCGGAAGGAACGCCAAUAGCGAAGGCAGCUACCUGGACGACUUGUGACGCUGAGGCGCGAAAGCGUGGGGAGCAAACCGGAUUAGAUACCCGGGUAGUCCACGCCCUAAACCAUGAGUGCUGGGUGUCCGGCUUCUGCUGGGUGCCGUAGCUAACGCGCUAAGCACUCCGCCUGGGAAGUACGCACGCAAGUGUGAAACUCAAAGGAAUUGACGGGGGCCCGCACAAGCGGUGGAGCAUGUGGUUUAAUUCGAAGCGACGCGAAGAACCUUACCAGGCCUUGACAUGCCCGGAACCCCUCUGAAAGGAGGGGGUGCCCGCAAGGGAGCCGGGACACAGGUGCUGCAUGGCCGUCGUCAGCUCGUGUCGUGAGAUGUUGGGUUAAGUCCCGCAACGAGCGCAACCCCUAUCCCUAGUUGCCAGCAGUUCGGCUGGGCACUCUAUGGAGACUGCCUGCGAAAGCAGGAGGAAGGCGGGGAUGACGUCUGGUCCGCAUGGCCCUUACGGCCUGGGCGACACACGUGCUACAAUGCCAAGGACAGAGCGCUGCUACCUCGCGAGAGGACGCCAAUCGCAAAAACCUUGGCUCAGUUCGGAUUGGAGUCUGCAACUCGACUCCAUGAAG